RNAcentral lists this ribosomal RNA (1378 nucleotides) under uncultured bacterium. RNAcentral's name for it is "16S ribosomal RNA". It matches the Rfam family "Bacterial small subunit ribosomal RNA", at positions 30 to 1399 of the family's 1533-position model. The record is from RNAcentral.
UGAACGCUGGCGGUAUGCUUAACACAUGCAAGUCGAACGGAAACGAUACUAGCUUGCUAGUAGGCGUCGAGUGGCGGACGGGUGAGUAACGCGUAGGAAUCUGCCUGAUAGUGGGGGAUAGCCCGAAGAAAUUCGGAUUAAUACCGCAUAAUCUAUUCGUAGUAAAGUGGGGGACUUUCGAGCCUCACGCUAUCAGAUGAGCCUGCGUAAGAUUAGCUUGUUGGUAGGGUAAAAGCCUACCAAGGCGACGAUCUUUAGCUGGUCUGAGAGGAUGAUCAGCCACAUCGGGACUGAGACACGGCCCGAACUCCUACGGGAGGCAGCAGUGGGGAAUAUUGGACAAUGGGGGCAACCCUGAUCCAGCAAUACCGCGUGUGUGAAGAAGGCCUGAGGGUUGUAAAGCACUUUCAAUUGUGAAGAAAAGUUAGCGGUUAAUAACCGUUAGCCUUGACGUUAACUUUAGAAGAAGCACCGGCUAACGCCGUGCCAGCAGCCGCGGUAAUACGGAGGGUGCAAGCGUUAAUCGGAAUUACUGGGCGUAAAGCGUGCGUAGGCGGUUUAUUAAGUCAGAUGUGAAAGCCCCGGGCUUAACCUGGGAACUGCAUUUGAAACUGGUCAACUAGAGUAUGGUAGAGGAAAGUGGAAUUUCUGGUGUAGCGGUGAAAUGCGUAGAUAUCAGAAGGAACAUCAAUGGCGAAGGCAGCUUUCUGGACCAAUACUGACGCUGAGGUACGAAAGCGUGGGUAGCAAACAGGAUUAGAUACCCUGGUAGUCCACGCCGUAAACGAUGAUAACUAGCCGUUGGGGGGAUUUACCCUUUAGUGGCGAAGCUAACGCGUUAAGUUAUCCGCCUGGGGAGUACGGCCGCAAGGUUAAAACUCAAAGGAAUUGACGGGGACCCGCACAAGCGGUGGAGCAUGUGGUUUAAUUCGAUGCAACGCGAAGAACCUUACCUGGUCUUGACAUCCUGCGAACUUUCUAGAAAUAGAUUGGUGCCUUCGGGAACGCAGUGACAGGUGCUGCAUGGCUGUCGUCAGCUCGUGUCGUGAGAUGUUGGGUUAAGUCCCGUAACGAGCGCAACCCCUAUCCUUAUUUGCCAGCACAUCAUGGUGGGAACUAUAAGGAGACUGCCGGUGAUAAACCGGAGGAAGGCGGGGACGACGUCAAGUCAUCAUGGCCCUUACGACCAGGGCUACACACGUGCUACAAUGGGAAGGACAAAGAGCCGCGAAGCCGCGAGGUGUAGCUAAUCUCAUAAACCUUUUCGUAGUCCGGAUUGGAGUCUGCAACUCGACUCCAUGAAGUCGGAAUCGCUAGUAAUCGUAGAUCAGAAUGCUACGGUGAAUACGUUCCCGGGUCUUGUACACACCGCCCGUCA